Long non-coding RNA from Daphnia magna, 818 nucleotides. RefSeq lists it as uncharacterized. NCBI's taxonomy places the organism in Eukaryota, Metazoa, Arthropoda, Branchiopoda, Diplostraca, Daphniidae. The transcript has 2 exons. The record is from RefSeq and is a predicted model, not a curated record.
CGGGAAUUGAUACGUGUCAUAUAGCGACUUAAGCAGGUCGGCAAAACGGAAAUAUCGAAUAACUGAUAACGUUCGAAGGGUUUGACUGAAGGAAAGAAAGAGAAAAAAUUGGUCUAAAUAAGAAUUAUCAAGAUAUACAACUCAUGGAAGAAGACAAAUUUCAUUUGUUUAACGUCGUACACGUGAGGUAACAACACGUGACUGGUCGAUUAAGUCACAGCUUUGAUCGGUUGAAAUGAACAGGUGAUAUGCGUGCCGACUUGCCUCGUCAUUAUUAUUCAUUUUCUGAUAAGUGAGAAAUUCUUUAUCGUCUACAGGACAAUGGCCACGAUCGUCGUAACAAUAUGAAUAACCAUGUUCCCACAUGAUAUUUGCUUGGAAAUGUGCCAAACAAACCACCCACUACAGUCUACAAGAGAUACAAGUGUGGGUAUAAAACACUCACCUUAAACCAAUGUCGAUGUCCUACAUUAUGCUCGGGUUGAUUUGCCAACACGUAAUGCCAGCUUUUAUGCUCAGCUAAAAUUCAGAAAACUAUUUAGGUUCAGUUAACUGCUCACUACUGUUGAUGUAACGCGAUGAAUUCACAAUAUGCAAGCAGACGACUUUUCAUGUAGAGAAUUUAGAGCGCUCUUAGCGGAGCGAAUGUUUUCAACAUUUUUAACACGGAAAGAAUUUCAUAAAAGCAAUUACCUAUCCUCAUUAUUGUAAUUCUAUGAUGAAAGAAAUAUAACAAGUCCAAAUACUAAAAGAAUAAUAAUACCUUUAGAUCAAAGGUGUGAAAAGGUAAUCUUCUUGAGAAAAAAAAAAAAUGGGGA